UUUUUUAGCCACGGACACUGUUUCUACCUGUGAUGGAGUCGGCUGGUGUAGCCCUUUGCAGCAUGCAUUUCUACGCAUUUUAGAUGGCACUCGAAUUUCAAAACGUCUAUUUCCUUGACUUCCGUAGUCGAUGCUCGAUUCUCUACGUUCCAGUAUAAUUGUGGACUCCUGGUGAACUACACCAUUAGUCUCUUUCUCUCUCUCUCUCUCAUACUCCACAGCCUAGUUACAGACUCUUAAACCAAACAGACUUUUAAACAUUCCAGGUUGUACGAGAUUAGUGUUGACAGAGUCAUUGGGCUGCAUGAUCUGGCCACCAAUCGCUCCACUUGGAGAUUAUGGGUUUAAUGUACUCUCUACCAGCGUACUGUUGCAGAUUGGCCACAGAUCGGAUAUGCGGAUGGACUGAUACUGAAGAAUUAAGUUUUGUGAGCACCAUCCCCGAGAUAAAGCUGCCCACACCCAUCUCUGCGUUGGGAUUGCCUCAUGGGUUAUGCACUAAGCGCCUCGUAUAAAACUCGAAUGUCGUGUUUUAAGGUUUUGAAACUCGCUAAUCCCUGAGCUAAUUAGGCAGUCGAUCAGGACACUGAACAGGACUGGGUCAUGAGGAGCCCGCAGUGAGGUUGUUGAUAAGGUGUACAGGAAUGUACUCACUUGUAGGCCAAGGCUGAAGCAGGUCCCCAUCAGUCGCUUUUGGUGGAGAGGACACAUGCAGCCUGACGCAGAGGAGGCAGGUUCUAUUCAAUUGUGUGCCACAGAAAAGGACUUUCCCAGAAGUUGAAAGCAUUAUCUCAUGUCAAGUCUCCUUCGCAGUUCUUUUUUCCAAACCUGGUGUUUCUGGGGGUAUGGUGUCUUCCGACACGGGUUCCGACACUGCUACGACGUCUCUGUGAGAAGCCGAGCCUCAGUUGAUUGCGCUUGAUUUGUGACUCGUGAGGGGGAUUUGAUUUGAGCGCUGUUUGAUUUGGAAUCAUGCUUCUCUUCUUCAUUUUCUCGCUUCUUGUGUUUCUGAUCGUCAGUACCGCCAUAGCGCCCGCUUUGAUGGAGCAAACCCAAGAAGUUGUAGACCAAGCCGUCGGCAUGUGGGCCCUUCCAUCUUUCUUUGGCGCCCUAUCUGCGUUGCUGCUGCUCUUGGUCUGCGUUCCCUGCGGUCCGCUGGAGCCCGUGGUGAACCAGGUUAAGAAUUUCCAGUACUGAAGCUGAGACCUCCAUGCACUGCACGUCUCUACAAGGGCUUCUGACAACCCAUGGUUGAUCUGGUUUGCGCACUUUUGCGGUUUCGCUUUGUUCUCCAAACUAGACCUACAGGUCAACUUCUCAAGGACUAGCCAAGCGCGCUUCUGUGGAGCUGAACUACCCACAUGGGAGGACGAUGAGCUUUCGACACAGCCUUCGGCGUUGUUCGUGACUGCAGCAACAGAAAACUGCAACUUUAUGUGAGAAUCUGCAUUAGCCCUCUGAUAUCAGUGCAUUUGUUGCCUUCCAGUGAGCUCCAGAAUGUUCUCAUUUAAGGAUUUUUCACGCAAGUCUUUCCUUGCUUCUUAUACAUGCUAGCAAGAGGAUAAGCUAUAGAGAGUCUUAACUAAAGCCAAUUUUGAAAACAGUGGAUUCUGCUGCUCUGUUGAGUUAAGAAGUAACACGACCUAGAUGAACAAAAUAUAUAGUAAAACAGCGAUUACUGGAGGUGAUAUUGUGUGCAAUGUAAUGGGUCCGUUUCUUUUCUUGCAGUGUUGAUUGAAGUAUAUCA
Molecule: non-coding RNA, 1747 nt
Organism: Physcomitrium patens
Lineage: Eukaryota; Viridiplantae; Streptophyta; Bryopsida; Funariales; Funariaceae
Source: RefSeq, a predicted model, not a curated record